CACUUGCCUCUAAAGAAAUGUGUAUUUGAUGUUCAAGCAUUCUUAUUGGUUAGUUCAAUUCUGAUGACAAUAAGGGGUGUUGUGAUUGGCCCCACUUGCAGAUAGGGGGAGAUCGCGAACGUCAGGUCUUCCCAGUAUGAAAAUGUGAUGCAAGGGAUUUUGUCAUCGACAGCCAUCAACACUGUUAAGCCCUGCACAACUAACGUGCUGUUUCCCAUUUAACAACAGGUAUUUAUACAUGUUAUAUUUUGUAUUGUAUUUUUGUAUUUUGUUCGCCCAGUAUGAAAAUGUGAUGCAAGGGAUUUUGUCAUCGACAGCCAUCAACACUGUUAAGCCCUGCACAACUAACGUGCUGUUUCCCAUUUAACAACAGCAGAAAUAAAUGAUGCUCAACUGGGA
Molecule: long non-coding RNA, 399 nt
Organism: Salvelinus fontinalis (brook trout)
Lineage: Eukaryota; Metazoa; Chordata; Actinopteri; Salmoniformes; Salmonidae
Exons: 2
Source: RefSeq, a predicted model, not a curated record